Molecule: ribosomal RNA, 254 nt
Filed under: uncultured bacterium
Lineage: Bacteria
Description: partial 16S ribosomal RNA
Rfam family: Bacterial small subunit ribosomal RNA
Source: RNAcentral
UACAGAGGUCUCAAGCGUUGUUCGGAUUCAUUGGGCGUAAAGGGCGCGCAGGCGGCUGCUCAAGUCAGGCGUGAAAGGCCUGGGCUCAACCCGGGAAUUGCGCUUGAGACUGGGCUGGCCUGAGUGCGGGAGAGGAUGGUGGAAUUCCCAGUGUAGAGGUGAAAUUCGUAGAUAUUGGGAAGAACACCGGUGGCGAAGGCGGCCAUCUGGACCGCAACUGACGCUGAGGCGCGAAAGCGUGGGGAGCAAACAGG